This 3011-nucleotide unclassified non-coding RNA is filed under the name Cimex lectularius (bed bug). RNAcentral's name for it is "serine/threonine-protein kinase PRP4 homolog, transcript variant X6". The record is from RNAcentral. Lineage: Eukaryota; Metazoa; Arthropoda; Insecta; Hemiptera; Cimicidae.
CGGUCUAAGGUUCCCUGAAUUGUGCAAACGAAAUAAUGGCGUUUGCGUGUCCCCUGGGCAAUUCAUAAACGCUUUGUUAUUUCCUUACAAUACCAAGGCGCUCUUCAUUUUUUACACGAUGAAUUUUUAAUUAUUCCCGAAUUUCCUUAUCUUAAAGACGAUUUUGGGAAAAAAAUGGGGGCUAGUGACGAUGACUCUCCUUUGUCAGUAGAAGAAGUGACACAAAAAGACGAUACUGAAAUAAAUGAUUCUAAAUCAGAUAAAAAAAUUAAGAAGCUGAAGAAGAAAAAGCAUAAACACAAGCAUAAAAGACACUCCAAUAGUGAAAAACAUGAAAAGAAAAAGAAGCACAAGCACAAACGAAAAUCAGAAAAUGGUGAUGUCAAAAUCAAACACAAAUCCUCGUCUAAAGAGGAGAAAGAAGAAGGCGAGAACAACGGAGGCGAAAAUGGUACAAACAAUAUAGUGAAUUCAAAGCCGUUGAUGAAUGGAAAAAAAGAGGCGAACAACCAAGUGGUGUCAGCCACUUCUGAAAACAACAUCAAACCUUUAAAAGACGAUGACAGUGACAGUGUUGAAGUCACUGUUAUAGAAGAAGAAAUGAAUUUGGAAGAUUUAAUGAGGCAAAAGGCGCUGCUUCAAGCAAGGCUAGGUGCUUAUAUGUCGGAUUCUGAUAAUAGUGUUAAAGAAGAAGGUGAAGUUAUCAACUUGACUGGUGAAUAUAACCAUAGUGCACCAACAGAACCUAAAAAGAGAAGAAUAGAGAGCAGGAGUAGAAGCCAAGAGAGGAAACUGAGUAAAGAUAAUUUAAAUGAUAAACACAAAGAAAAAUAUUCAGGUGCAGUUAGUAAGCAUAAAAAGAAAGAAGAGGAAAAGAAGAGAGACCAGAAAAAGAGGGAUGAUGAAGAAAAAAGAUGGAAGGAAGAUGAAAUCCGACGAGAAGAGGAGGCUAGAAGAAGGGAAGAUGAGUUAAGAAGAAAAGAAGAAGAAAGAAGAAGAGAAGAAAGAAGAAAAUCAGACCAAAAGAGGCAGGAAGAAAGAAAUAGGAGGGAAGAAUUAAGGCGUAGAAGCCUUUCCAGGAGAAGAAGUUGUUCUCGUAGUAGAGAUCGUAGGGACGAUAGAGACAGGCGAAUUGACAGGAGGCGUGAUGACGACAGGGAUAUUCGUGAUAGGAGGCGGGACGAUUCGAGAGAUAGAAGAAGAGACGAUAUUAGAAGACGAAGCAGGGACAGAGAUCGUAGGAGUAGGUCUCCUCAAGGAAGAGAUAGAGACAGGAGACCAUACAGAUAUGAUUCAAGGCGUUCUCACAGUAGAGAUAGAAAUUAUUCUAGAUCCCACAAAAGCCGAACAGUCAAAGAUAAAUUUAAGGAUAGCUUAUCAGAGGGUCAAAUAAGAGAUGCCAAUUCUUCUUCCUCCGAGGAUGACCUUACUAACAUUAACAUUGUGGAAGAUGAAGAAGAUGAAGAAGAAAUCAUCGAGAAGAGAAGAAAGCAAAGAGAAGAACUUAUUAAGAGAUUGGGAGCUGUAAGUGAAGAUUCAAACCUAACAGUGUCACAGGCAGCAAGCCCUGUUAUUGCUGUAAUUGAAAACGAUGUGGAGGCUCCUAAAAAAAGGAAAUCUAGGUUUGAACCAGAAGCUAAUUCUGAUGCCAACUUGCCCCCUCCAAAAGAAAGUCCACCCCCAGCCAAACCAGACAAAUGGGAUAUGUUUGCAGAAGCUGAUACACCUGUAGAAUAUAAUAGCCCUGGAGUUGUUGAUAAAAGUGCUGGGGCUGAAAAUCCAUCGCUGACUGAUAAUUGGGAUGAUGCCGAGGGUUAUUAUAGAGUCAGAAUCGGUGAAAAUCUCGAUUCUCGUUAUAUAGUUUAUGGAUACACUGGUCAAGGAGUUUUCUCCAAUGUCGUCAGAGCUCGGGACAGCAUUCGAAAUAACCAAGACGUAGCUGUGAAAAUCAUAAGAAAUAAUGAAAUAAUGCACAAAACUGGUUUAAAAGAAUUAGAUGUAUUGAAAAGGUUAAAUGAUGCAGAUCCUGAAGACAAGUUCCAUUGUUUAAGACUUUUUAGACAUUUUUUUCACAAACAACAUCUUUGCCUUGUAUUCGAACCUCUUAGUAUGAAUUUGAGAGAAGUCUUAAAGAAGUAUGGUAAGGAUGUUGGUUUGCAUGUAAAAGCUGUCAGAUCUUAUAGCCAACAACUUUUCUUUGCCUUGAAGUUGCUCAAGAAAGCGAAUAUUUUACAUGCAGAUAUAAAACCAGAUAAUAUUUUGGUGAAUGAAAGCAAAUUGAUAUUGAAACUUUGUGACUUUGGUUCAGCAUCACAUGUAGCGGACAACGAAAUAACACCUUACCUUGUUAGUAGGUUUUACAGGGCUCCAGAAAUAAUCCUCGGAAUUCCUUAUGACUUUGGAAUUGAUAUGUGGUCUGCUGGGUGUACAAUUUAUGAAUUAUACACUGGUAAAAUUAUGUUCCCGGGCAAAUCCAAUAACCAGAUGUUAAAACUUUUUAUGGACCUGAAAGGCAAAAUGCCUAAUAAACUUAUCAGAAAAGGAGCGUUUAAGGAUCAACAUUUUGAUGUAAAUUGUAAUUUUUUAUCCCAUGAGGUAGACAAAGUCACAGAGAGGGAGAAGGUGGUUGUAAUGUCGACUAUUAUUGCUACAAGAGAAUUACAUUCUGAACUGGUGGGUAACCAACAUUUGCCUGAAGACCAGGCAAGGAAGGUGAACCAGUUGAAGGAUUUGCUCGACCGCGUUCUUAUGCUAGAUUCGAGCAAAAGGAUCGCCCUCAAUCAGGCUUUAACACAUCCUUUUAUACAAGAAAAAAUAUGAACCUCGUAGGAGAGUAAUUGUGUGAGGCAAUGUUCAUUGUUCGAGACUUGAGAAUUCUCAUGCGUGUGUUGCCUGGCGCACAGGUUUUACAGAAAGGGGCUAAUUUUAAGGAGAGCGGUUGGUCUAAAUGCUGAGCCACCGCCCCAGCAAUUAUUAGUCAAGUCCAGUACCACCUUGCUGUAGGUAAUUUA